Molecule: ribosomal RNA, 397 nt
Filed under: uncultured bacterium
Lineage: Bacteria
Description: bacterial SSU rRNA
Rfam family: Bacterial small subunit ribosomal RNA
Source: RNAcentral
UAAUACGUAGGGUGCGAGCGUUAAUCGGAAUUACUGGGCGUAAAGGGUGCGCAGGCGGCUCCGCAUGUCGGGCGUGAAAUCCCCGGGCUUAACCUGGGAAUUGCGUCCGAAACUAUGGAGCUGGAGUGUGGCAGAGGGAGGUGGAAUUCCACGUGUAGCGGUGAAAUGCGUAGAGAUGUGGAGGAACACCGAUGGCGAAGGCAGCCUCCUGGGCCAACACUGACGCUCAUGCACGAAAGCGUGGGGAGCAAACAGGAUUAGAUACCCUGGUAGUCCACGCCCUAAACGAUGAUGACUAGUUGUUGGAGGAGUUAAAUCCUUUAGUAACGCAGCUAACGCGCGAAGUCAUCCGCCUGGGGAGUACGGUCGCAAGAUUAAAACUUAAAUGAAUUGACGG